ACUUCUAGGCUUGGUUGAACCGUGCAGAUACCUUUUCGAAACAAAAGGUUUUCCUACCUGCUUAUACUUGGUAACCGAGGGAAUUACUAAGACUUCUUGCUCAUUUCUGAGUAUUGUCUUUAUAUCCUGACACUAUGAAUGCUACUUGGAUGCCUCUUAAGUCUGUUCUCUGGGGAGGCAGUAAGGGGCCGUGGAGCUGGCCUCGGCCUCGGCAUCGGGAGAGGCUGGACUUCCUGUCUCUCUGUGCUGAAUGGCUGCGAUGGCGCCCGCUCUCACUGACGCAGCAGCUGAAGCACACCAUAUCCGGUUCAAACUGGCUCCCCCAUCCUCUACCUUGUCCCCUGGCAGUGCCGAAAAUAACGGCAACGCCAACAUCCUUAUUGCUGCCAACGGAACCAAAAGAAAAGCCAUUGCUGCAGAGGAUCCCAGCCUAGAUUUCCGAAAUAAUCCUACCAAGGAAGACUUGGGAAAGCUGCAACCACUGGUGGCAUCUUAUCUCUGCUCUGAUGUAACAUCUGUUCCCUCAAAGGAGUCUUUGAAGUUGCAAGGGGUCUUCAGCAAGCAGACAGUCCUUAAAUCUCAUCCUCUCUUAUCUCAGUCCUAUGAACUCCGAGCUGAGCUGUUGGGGAGACAGCCAGUUUUGGAGUUUUCCUUAGAAAAUCUUAGAACCAUGAAUACGAGUGGUCAGACAGCUCUGCCAAAAGCACCUGUAAAUGGGUUGGCUAAGAAAUUGACUAAAAGUUCAACACAUUCUGAUCAUGACAAUUCCACUUCCCUCAAUGAGGGAAAACGGGCUCUCACUUCAUCUGCUCUUCAUGGGGGUGAAAUGGGAGGAUCUGAAUCUGGGGACUUGAAGGGGGGUAUGACCAAUUGCACUCUUCCACAUAGAAGCCUUGAUGUAGAACACACAACUUUGUAUAGCAAUAAUAGCACUGCAAACAAAUCUUCUGUCAAUUCCAUGGAACAGCCGGCACUUCAAGGAAGCAGUAGGUUAUCACCUGGUACAGACUCCAGCUCUAACUUGGGGGGUGUCAAAUUAGAGGGUAAAAAGUCUCCCCUGUCUUCCAUACUUUUCAGUGCUUUAGAUUCUGACACAAGGAUAACAGCUUUACUGCGGCGACAGGCUGACAUUGAGAGCCGUGCCCGCAGAUUACAAAAGCGCUUACAGGUUGUGCAAGCCAAGCAGGUUGAGAGGCAUAUACAACAUCAGCUGGGUGGAUUUUUGGAGAAGACUUUGAGCAAACUGCCAAACUUGGAAUCCUUGAGACCACGGAGCCAGUUGAUGCUGACUCGAAAGGCUGAAGCUGCCUUGAGAAAAGCUGCCAGUGAGACCACCACUUCAGAGGGACUUAGCAACUUUCUGAAAAGCAAUUCAAUUUCAGAAGAAUUGGAGAGAUUUACAGCUAGUGGCAUAGCCAACUUGAGGUGCAGUGAACAGGCAUUUGAUUCAGAUGUCACUGACAGUAGUUCAGGAGGGGAGUCUGAUAUUGAAGAGGAAGAACUGACCAGAGCUGAUCCCGAGCAGCGCCAUGUACCCCUAUAUCUCCAUACAGCCAAGAAUAAAGAAAGAAAGGGAUAGAUGGAAUGAGUUCCAUAGUGAUUGGGAGUGGUUGUUGAGAAGAAUCAUGUAACUAUGUAAAAAGUGUAUCUGUUUGGUACACUGUUUGCUAAUGUCAGAAGUGUUAAAUGGAAAUAAAAUUUCCACCAUAGUAGCUAA
RNAcentral lists this small RNA (1717 nucleotides) under Pongo abelii (Sumatran orangutan). RNAcentral describes it as "processed transcript". Lineage: Eukaryota; Metazoa; Chordata; Mammalia; Primates; Hominidae. The record is from RNAcentral.